GAUAGGGGAGCUUGUGAGACAGGCUGAGAGGAAACAGGAGUUUCGACCCUUUGACCUGAUGCGGAUAAUGCCGCCGUAGGAAUCAAUAUAUGAU
RNAcentral lists this non-coding RNA (94 nucleotides) under uncultured Lachnoclostridium sp. RNAcentral's name for it is "TPP riboswitch (THI element)". The stretch from base 4 to 82 matches the Rfam family "TPP riboswitch aptamer (THI element)", at positions 11 to 88 of the family's 105-position model. Rfam says of the family: Vitamin B(1) in its active form thiamin pyrophosphate (TPP) is an essential coenzyme that is synthesised by coupling of pyrimidine and thiazole moieties in bacteria. The previously detected thiamin-regulatory element, thi box was extended, resulting in a new, highly conserved RNA secondary structure, the THI element, which is widely distributed in eubacteria and also occurs in some archaea. Analysis of operon structures identified a large number of new candidate thiamin-regulated genes, mostly transporters, in various prokaryotic organisms. The record is from RNAcentral. Lineage: Bacteria; Bacillati; Bacillota; Clostridia; Lachnospirales; Lachnospiraceae.